GGAUCGCAAGACCUUGCGCUUUUGGAGCGGCCGAUGUCUGAUUAGCUAGUUGGUGAGGUAAAGGCUUACCAAGGCUUCGAUCAGUAGCUGGUCUGAGAGGACGACCAGCCACACUGGGACUGAGACACGGCCCAGACUCCUACGGGAGGCAGCAGUGGGGAAUUUUGGACAAUGGGGGAAACCCUGAUCCAGCCAUGCCGCGUGAGUGAAGAAGGCCUUCGGGUUGUAAAGCUCUUUCAGCCGGAACGAAAAGGUUACGGUUAAUACCCGUGACUAAUGACGGUACCGGAAGAAGAAGCACCGGCUAACUACGUGCCAGCAGCCGCGGUAAUACGUAGGGUGCGAGCGUUAAUCGGAAUUACUGGGCGUAAAGCGUGCGCAGGCGGUUUUGUAAGUCAGAUGUGAAAUCCCCGGGCUCAACCUGGGAACAGCGUUUGAAA
Molecule: ribosomal RNA, 440 nt
Filed under: uncultured beta proteobacterium
Lineage: Bacteria; Pseudomonadati; Pseudomonadota; Betaproteobacteria
Description: bacterial SSU rRNA
Rfam family: Bacterial small subunit ribosomal RNA
Source: RNAcentral